UUAUGCCUGGCUCCCUGUAUGCCACAAGCUAGAGUUCAUUCCCUUCCAUGGAUUGGCUAUUGCCGGUGGCGUGCGAGGAGCCAAGCAUAC
RNAcentral lists this microRNA precursor (90 nucleotides) under Ricinus communis (castor bean). Its description in RNAcentral is "mir-160 microRNA precursor family". It matches the Rfam family "mir-160 microRNA precursor family". From Rfam's summary of the family: The hairpin precursors (represented here) are predicted based on base pairing and cross-species conservation -- their extents are not known. The record is from Rfam by way of RNAcentral. Lineage: Eukaryota; Viridiplantae; Streptophyta; Magnoliopsida; Malpighiales; Euphorbiaceae.